GGGGUUGUGGCUCAGUGAUAGAGUGCUUGCCUCACACGCAUGAGGCACUGAGUUUGAUCCUCAGCACCACA
This 71-nucleotide transfer RNA is filed under the name Marmota monax (woodchuck). RNAcentral describes it as "tRNA.Val". It matches the Rfam family "tRNA". From Rfam's summary of the family: Transfer RNA (tRNA) molecules are approximately 80 nucleotides in length. Lineage: Eukaryota; Metazoa; Chordata; Mammalia; Rodentia; Sciuridae. The record is from RNAcentral.